Molecule: ribosomal RNA, 247 nt
Filed under: uncultured bacterium
Lineage: Bacteria
Also listed under: 1 other name
Description: partial 16S ribosomal RNA
Rfam family: Bacterial small subunit ribosomal RNA
Source: RNAcentral
CACGCCGUAAACGGUGGAUGCUGGAUGUGGGGACCAUUCCACGGUCUCCGUGUCGGAGCCAACGCGUUAAGCAUCCCGCCUGGGGAGUACGGCCGCAAGGCUAAAACUCAAAGAAAUUGACGGGGGCCCGCACAAGCGGCGGAGCAUGCGGAUUAAUUCGAUGCAACGCGAAGAACCUUACCUGGGCUUGACAUGUUCCCGACAGCCGUAGAGAUACGGUCUCCCUUCGGGGCGGGUUCACAGGUGG